RNAcentral lists this ribosomal RNA (253 nucleotides) under uncultured bacterium. RNAcentral's name for it is "partial 16S ribosomal RNA". It matches the Rfam family "Bacterial small subunit ribosomal RNA", at positions 524 to 776 of the family's 1533-position model. The record is from RNAcentral.
UACGUAGGGUGCAAGCGUUGUCCGGAAUUAUUGGGCGUAAAGAGCUCGUAGGCGGUCUGUCCCGUCGGAUGUGAAAACCCAGGGCUCAACCCUGGGCCUGCAUUCGAUACGGGCAGACUAGAGUUCGGUAGGGGAGACUGGAAUUCCUGGUGUAGCGGUGAAAUGCGCAGAUAUCAGGAGGAACACCGGUGGCGAAGGCGGGUCUCUGGGCCGAAACUGACGCUGAGGAGCGAAAGCGUGGGGAGCAAACAGG